GCUGGGCGUGGUGGCUCACGCCUGUAAUCCCAGCACUUUGGGAGGCUGAGACAGGUGGAUUACCUGAGGUCAGGAGUUCGAAACCAGCCUGACCAACAUGGAGAAACCCUGUCUCUA
RNAcentral lists this non-coding RNA (117 nucleotides) under Chlorocebus sabaeus (green monkey). Lineage: Eukaryota; Metazoa; Chordata; Mammalia; Primates; Cercopithecidae. The record is from Rfam by way of RNAcentral.